CAGAGUUGCAAAACUCCCAAACCAUUGUGAACGUUACCUUCUCGUUGCUUCGGCGGGCGGCCCGGGUCCUUCCCGGCGCCCCCCGGCCCCUCGCGGGCGCCCGCCGGAGGUACACCAAACUCUUGAAUUGUAUGGCCUCUCUGAGUCUUCUGUACUGAAUAAGUCA
This 166-nucleotide unclassified non-coding RNA is filed under the name uncultured Chaetomium. Its description in RNAcentral is "sequence contains ITS1". Lineage: Eukaryota; Fungi; Ascomycota; Sordariomycetes; Sordariales; Chaetomiaceae. The record is from RNAcentral.